UCGAUGCGCUCAUUCGCGCAGUCCGAGGUGCCGACGCACGAAAUGCCUAGUCUCGAGCUCGAGGAGUCGACACUCGAUGUGCUUAUUCGCGCAGUCCGAGGUGCCGACGCACGAAAUGCCUAGUCUCGAGCUCGAGGAGUCGACACUCGAUGUGCUUAUUCGCGCAGUCCGAGGUGCCGACGCACGAAAUGCCUAGUCUCGAGCUCGAGGAGUCGACACUCGAUGCGCUCAUUCGCGCAGUCCGAGGUGCCGACGCACGAAAUGCCUAGUCUCGAGCUCGAGGAGUCGACACUCGAUGUGCUUAUUCGCGCAGUCCGAGGUGCCGACGCACGAAAUGCCUAGUCUCGAGCUCGAGGAGUCGACACUCGAUGCGCUCAUUCGCGCAGUCCGAGGUGCCGACGCACGAAAUGCCUAGUCUCGAGCUCGAGGAGUCGACACUCGAUGUGCUUAUUCGCGCAGUCCGAGGUGCCGACGCACGAAAUGCCUAGUCUCGAGCUCGAGGAGUCGACACUCGAUGUGCUUAUUCGCGCAGUCCGAGGUGCCGACGCACAAAUGCCUGGUCUCGAGCUCGAGGAGUCGACACUCCAUGUGCUUAUUCGCGCACUCAGAGGUGCCGACACACGAAAUGCCUAGACGCGGGAUCGAGGAGUCAACGCUCGAUGCACUUAUUC
This 671-nucleotide long non-coding RNA is filed under the name Dermacentor andersoni. RNAcentral describes it as "uncharacterized LOC126526303". Lineage: Eukaryota; Metazoa; Arthropoda; Arachnida; Ixodida; Ixodidae. The record is from RNAcentral.